UCAGGCCUAACACAUGCAAGUCGAGGGGCAGCAUGGUGUAGCAAUACACCGAUGGCGACCGGCGCACGGGUGAGUAUCGCGUAUGCAACCUGCCUGCUACUGGGGAAUAGCCCUAAGGAAUUGGGAUUAAUACCGCAUAAUACAGGGAUUCCGCAUGGAAAUAUUUGUUAAAGAUUUAUCGGUAGUAGAUGGGCAUGCGUUCCAUUAGCUUGUUGGAAGGGUAACGGCCUACCAAGGCUACGAUGGAUAGGGGAACUGAGAGGUUGGUCCCCCACACUGGGACUGAGACACGGCCCAGACUCCUACGGGAGGCAGCAGUGAGGAAUAUUGGUCAAUGGGCGAGAGCCUGAACCAGCCAAGUCGCGUGAAGGAUGAAGGGUCUAUGGCUUGUAAACUUCUUUUGUCCGGGAGUAUAGCGCGGGACGUGUCCCGCUUGGAAAGUACCGGGGCGAGGGGAGCAUCGGCUAACUCCGUGCCAGCAGCCGCGGUAAUACGGAGGAUGCAAGCGUUAUCCGGAUUUAUUGGGUUUAAAGGGUGCGCAGGCGGGGCGUUAAGUCAGCGGUGAAAGAUACAGGCUCAACCUGUAAAAGGCCGUUGAAACUGGCGCUCUUGAGAAUGGAUGAAGCAGGCGGAAUUAGUGGUGUAGCGGUGAAAUGCUUAGAUAUCACUAAGAACUCCAACAGCGAAGGCAGCUUGCUAACGCAUAUCUGACGCUCAGGCACGAAAGUGUGGGUAUCAAACAGGAUUAGAUACCCUGUAGUCCACACUGUAAACGAUGAUUACUAAUUGUUUGCGAUACACCGCAAGUAACCAAGCGAAAGCGAUAAGUAAUCCACCUGGGGAGUACGCCGGCAACGGUGAAACUCAAAGGAAUUGACGGGGGCCCGCACAAGCGGAGGAACAUGUGGUUUAAUUCGAUGAUACGCGAGGAACCUUACCCGGGAUUGAAAUGCUGCGGAAAGACGGGGAAACCCGACUGCCAGAAAUGGCCGCUGCGUAGGUGCUGCAUGGUUGUCGUCAGCUCGUGCCGUGAGGUGUCGGCUUAAGUGCCAUAACGAGCGCAACCCACAUCGGAAGUUACUAACAGGUAAUGCUGAGGACUCUGCCGAGACUGCCGGCGUAAGCUGAGAGGAAGGUGUGGAUGACGUCAAAUCAGCACGGCCCUUACAUCCGGGGCGACACACGUGUUACAAUGGCCGGUACAGAGGGAUGCCAUCAGGCGACUGAGAGCUGAUCCAUAAAACCGGUCCCAGUUCGGAUUGGAGUCUGCAACUCGACUCCAUGAAGCUGGAUUCGCUAGUA
Molecule: ribosomal RNA, 1302 nt
Filed under: uncultured bacterium
Lineage: Bacteria
Description: bacterial SSU rRNA
Rfam family: Bacterial small subunit ribosomal RNA
Source: RNAcentral